AGUGAACGCUGGCGGUAGGCCUAACACAUGCAAGUCGAACGGCAGCACAGUAAGAGCUUGCUCUUACGGGUGGCGAGUGGCGGACGGGUGAGGAAUACAUCGGAAUCUACUUUUUCGUGGGGGAUAACGUAGGGAAACUUACGCUAAUACCGCAUACGACCUACGGGUGAAAGCAGGGGAUCUUCGGACCUUGCGCGAUUGAAUGAGCCGAUGUCGGAUUAGCUAGUUGGCAGGGUAAAGGCCCACCAAGGCGACGAUCCGUAGCUGGCCUGAGAGGAUGAUCAGCCACACUGGAACUGAGACACGGUCCAGACUCCUACGGGAGGCAGCAGUGGGGAAUAUUGGACAAUGGGCGCAAGCCUGAUCCAGCCAUACCGCGUGGGUGAAGAAGGCCUUCGGGUUGUAAAGCCCUUUUGUUGGGAAAGAAAAGCAGCAGGUUAAUACCCCGCUGUUCUGACGGUACCCAAAGAAUAAGCACCGGCUAACUUCGUG
This 492-nucleotide ribosomal RNA is filed under the name uncultured bacterium. RNAcentral's name for it is "partial 16S ribosomal RNA". It matches the Rfam family "Bacterial small subunit ribosomal RNA", at positions 29 to 507 of the family's 1533-position model. The record is from RNAcentral.